Molecule: non-coding RNA, 77 nt
Organism: Caenorhabditis elegans
Lineage: Eukaryota; Metazoa; Nematoda; Chromadorea; Rhabditida; Rhabditidae
Source: Ensembl
UGAGAGCUAUAAAAAAAUUGUCAACUAACAAAAUAUUUUUCAUACAAUUUUGAAUAUUUUCUCAGUUGACAACUUUU